GGGGAUGAUGGUACCACUAGAGAAAGCACCGGCUAAUCUCGUGCCAGCAGCCGCGGUAAUACGAGAGGUGCGAGCGUUAUUCGGAUUUAUUGGGUGUAAAGGGUGCGUAGACGGCGCGUUAAGUUUGUUGUUAAAUCCUCCGGCUCAACCGGAGAUAUGCGGCAAAUACUGGCGUGCUAGAGGAUGGAAGAGAGAAGUGGAAUUCUUGGAGUAGCGGUAAAAUGCGUAGAUCUCAAGAGGAACACCGAUGGCGAAGGCAGCUUCUUGGUCCAUUCCUGACGUUGAGGCACGAAAGCGUGGGGAGCAAACAGGAUUAGAUACCCUGGUAGUCCACGCUGUAAACGAUAAUCACUAGACGUUGGUUCUGUUUAACGGGAUCAGUGUCGUAGCUAACGCGUUAAGUGAUUCACCUGGGAAGUACGGUCGCAAGAUUAAAACUCAAAGGAAUUGACGG
Molecule: ribosomal RNA, 454 nt
Filed under: uncultured bacterium
Lineage: Bacteria
Description: bacterial SSU rRNA
Rfam family: Bacterial small subunit ribosomal RNA
Source: RNAcentral